CACGUAGUUAGCCGGUGCUUCUUCUGCAGGUACCGUCUUCAUUCGUUCCUGCUGAAAGAGGUUUACAACCCGAAGGCCUUCAUCCCUCACGCGGCGUCGCUGCGUCAGGCUUCCGCCCAUUGCGCAAUAUUCCCCACUGCUGCCUCCCGUAGGAGUCUGGGCCGUGUCUCAGUCCCAGUGUGGCCGGUCGCCCUCUCAGGCCGGCUACCCGUCGUCGCCUUGGUAGGCCAUUACCCCACCAACAAGCUGAUAGGCCGCGGGCCCAUCCUUGACCGAAAAAACUUUCAACCACCACAGAUGCCUGUAGAAGUGAUAUCCGGUAUUAGCAGCUGUUUCCAACUGUUAUCCCGAAGUCAAGGGCAGGUUACCCACGUGUUACUCACCCGUUCGCCACUCGAGUACCCGCAAGCGGGCCUUUCCGUUCGACUUGCAUGUGUUAACGCACGCCGCCAGCGUUCGUCCUGAGCCGACGGAGUCAACUGCCAACGGCACACAGGGGAGUAAG
Molecule: ribosomal RNA, 505 nt
Filed under: uncultured Actinomycetales bacterium
Lineage: Bacteria; Bacillati; Actinomycetota; Actinomycetes; Actinomycetales
Description: partial 16S ribosomal RNA
Source: RNAcentral